GGCCCAUUAGCUCAGUUGGUUAGAGCGUCGCGCUAAUAACGCAAACGUCGUCGGUUCGAUCCAUCCAUGGGCCA
Molecule: non-coding RNA, 74 nt
Organism: Araneus ventricosus
Lineage: Eukaryota; Metazoa; Arthropoda; Arachnida; Araneae; Araneidae
Source: the annotation of a GenBank genome assembly